CUUUAUUGAUUAAAGCUCCGGCGGGUAGAGAUGGGCAUGCGUGUCAUUAGCUAGUUGGUGAGGUAACGGCCCACCAAGGGCCACGAUGACUAGGGGGUCUGAGGGGAUGAUCCCNCACACUGGUACUGAGACACGGACCAGACUCCUACGGGAGGCAGCAGUGAGGAAUAUUGGGCAAUGGACGCAAGUCUGACCCAGCCAUGCCGCGUGCAGGAUGACUGCCCUAUGGGUUGUAAACUGCUUUUGUUUGGGAAGAAACCCCCGAUCGUGAUCGGGGCUGACGGUACCAUACGAAUAAGCAUCGGCUAACUCCGUGCCAGCAGCCGCGGUAAUACGGAGGAUGCAAGCGUUAUCCGGAUUCAUUGGGUUUAAAGGGUGCGCAGGCGGAAUAUUAAGUCAGUGGUGAAAUCCUGCAGCUUAACUGUAGAACUGCCAUUGAUACUGAUAUUCUUGAAUAUAGUUGAGGUGGCCGGAAUGUGUAAUGUAGCGGUGAAAUGCUUAGAUAUUACACAGAACACCAAUUGCGAAGGCAGCUCACUAAACUAAUAUUGACGCUGAGGCACGAAAGCGUGGGUAGCAAACAGGAUUAGAUACCCUGGUAGUCCACGCUGUAAACUAUGAUCACUCGCUGUUGGCAAUACAUCGUCAGCGGCUGAGCGAAAGCAUUAAGUGAUCCACCUGGGGAGUACGGUCGCAAGAUUGAAACUCAAAGGAAUUGACGGGGGCCCGCACAAGCGGAGGAACAUGUGGUUUAAUUCGAUGAUACGCGAGGAACCUUACCUGGGCUUAAAUGCAGAGCGACGUCCGCCGAAAGGUGGAUUCCUUCGGGCGGUCUGCAAGGUGCUGCAUGGUUGUCGUCAGCUCGUGCCGUGAGGUGUCGGGUUAAGUCCCAUAACGAGCGCAACCCUUAUCGUUAGUUGCCAGCGGGUAAUGCCGGGGACUCUAACGAAACUGCCGGUGUAAACCGUGAGGAAGGUGGGGAUGACGUCAAAUCAGCACGGCCCUUAUGUCCAGGGCUACACACGUGUUACAAUGGUCGGUACAGAGGGCAGCUACCACGCAAGUGGAUGCUAAUCUCGAAAACCGGUCUCAGUUCGGAUUGAAGUCUGCAACUCGACUUCAUGAAGCUGGAUUCGCUAGUAAUCGCGCAUCAGCCAUGGCGCGGUGA
This 1168-nucleotide ribosomal RNA is filed under the name uncultured organism. RNAcentral describes it as "bacterial SSU rRNA". It matches the Rfam family "Bacterial small subunit ribosomal RNA", at positions 192 to 1365 of the family's 1533-position model. The record is from RNAcentral.